RNA transcript from Brachypodium distachyon (stiff brome), 3595 nucleotides. RefSeq lists it as uncharacterized. The record is from RefSeq and is a predicted model, not a curated record. The transcript is spliced from 15 exons. Lineage: Eukaryota; Viridiplantae; Streptophyta; Magnoliopsida; Poales; Poaceae.
GAAAAAGAAAAGAAUGCUGCCUGUUCUAAAAAAAAAAAGAGAACGCUGCCGCCGCGGCCAGCCCCGCGCCGCGCCGUGCCAACGGUCAGAUUCCCCACGAAUCAAAAUCCCCGGAAGUUCAAACCGAAGCAGUCCAUCUGAAAUUCUGAAUCGAAUCCUCCAGCCAACUCGGACUUCUCCCACAUCUGACAUCUCCGCCUCCAUGGGCUGCUUCUUCGCCUGCUUCGGCGGCGGCGACGAGGACCGCCGGCGUCGGAAGUCGCGGAGGCGGUCUCCGUCAAGCCACCCGCCGCGGCCGGACCAUCAUGUUGCUCGGGUCGGCAAGGCAUCGUUGGAGGAGGAUGAAGUGGUGAAGGAGGCGUCGCCGCCAUUGCCAGACGUGAGGGCUUCGGCGCCGCCGCCGCCGCUCGUCGUGGAGGCCUCGGAUGAAUUGGUCACUGGACCGAACCCAGGAACGGAGCAGAGGGAGUUGCGUGAGCAGAAAACUCUGACACCACCAUCACUUACAGUUCACGUUGCAGAGGAGGUGGUCAGUGGCGCAAGCCCAGGAGGACUGAGUCAGUUGAAUGAUCACAAGGAAUUGCCUGCACGCUCUUUACCACAGGAGGCGAUAGUCACACCACCACUCUUCACAAUGAAAUGUUCACCUGUGGCCACAACAGUUGUUUCAACUCCUGAUAUGGAGCUCAGGGAGGUGAGUGAAGAGGAGAACCGCAGCAGUGGCAAGAAGAAAGUAUCAUUCAACAUGAAUGUUACAUCAUACGAAAAUACCUCACUACCUGACCAAGAAGAGGAACGCUCAGAAUCCAUCAAGUGGAUGAAAGAUGAAGAUGAAAAACACAUGCAGAAGACUGUUCUGCUCCCAGAGAAUCAUCGUUAUGGGAAUUGCACAGAUAGUGAUGAUGACAUUGGAGAUGAGUACUGUGAGGAUGACAACUGUGGUGAUUAUAGUGAUACAGAGGAGGAUUUCGUGGAGUGCAAGGUUGAUUUGGUGGAUGAGGAGGAAAUGAGCACUGAUGAGAACAAGGAGGAGUCCCAUGAGUCUCUAUUCUCACUGCCAAUGUCUAAAGACCGGCAAAAUGACCAAGAAGUCACCAGCCCUAUACCCAAGAGCAGUGAGGGCCCUGCACAGGAAGAAAGCCCGUUAAUCCAGGGGAACAGCCACCGUGAUAGAAGUAAGUAUGUUCAUCCUGUCUUGAACCCAGUUCAGAAUCUGUCACAGUGGAAGGAAGUUAAGGCCCAAGUAGGACCAGUUAAUAAGUUGUACAAGGAGAAUGUAAACUCCGGGCCAGAUGCAGGUGCAAGCCCUAGUUCUAAGGUUGCAAACCAGACAAAGAUGAGCCCUAGCAACGCUAGCAAGGGGGAUGUUUCUGUAGAUGCAAGCCUAUCUACCUGGUUAGUUUCUUCAGGUAACUCAACAGUUGACAAGGCGCAAAGUAAAUCCCCACGUUCUGUUUCCUCGAUAUGCCGAGAAGAAAGGCCUGUCCUAGGUGCCUUGACUGUUGAUGGCCUUAAGAAAUCAUCAACAACAUCAUCUCCACGAAGGUCUCCAAGCCAUAACCGUCAAGAGGUGCCAAUCUUGGGUACAGUGGGAAGCUACUGGAGUUGCACAGAACCAGACAAUGAGUGUUGUUCUUCUAGGUCUGACUCAGGAACUAAUGGAAUCCCCAAUACAACAAGCAAAUAUAGAGAGGACAGAAGGGUGAACUGGCACUCGACUCCCUUCAAUGUCAGGCUGGAUAAAGCUCUGAAGAAAUCUUCUGCAUGAGUUGGUGCUGCUAAAGAUUAAGAAAACACGGUGAUUGCUGCUCACCAGACUGUAAGGUGCUGAUACUACAACCUAAGUGGUAGCAUCCGCCACACACUUCAGAGUUCACCUUAGGCCUACUGAUCACGCUUUGAACAGUUGGGUGUGAUGGUUGUGCCCUUCAGCUUUCAGAAAUGGAGUUUGUGGGCCAGCUAUGUUCCAAUGGGUAUGAAUAUGUCUGCCACGGGCGAGAUCGUGCGGCACUUCGCGGAGAUGGAAGCCUCGUCGCCGUAGCUACUCCGCUGGCUGCUGCAGUUCUGGGGGUUCAAGGAGUCAGGAGUGGCUCCUCGUCGACGAUCUUGUCUUCGCCAAGCUCGCUGGAAUGCAGCGUCGGCAUCAUUGCCAAGUGUGAUUGGAGUUUCAUGUUCGGUGCUGAAAAUCUUGACACGUUUUCUGCUGAAGAGAAGGGAGAAUUUGUAAAAGAGAUUGACAUCAUCAUUGCUCAUGUGAGAAAUGGUUCCCCCAGGUUGCCGGCCAUCCCAAGGUCUCCGCCAUCAACCAUCGACUCUGCUGGUUCAGCUCCCAUCAUCAGCCACCUGGUGCUCCACCCCAACGCCCUGCUACUCCGGCAUGUGGAACCUGCACCGCCACGACUCCCCAUUUGACUGUCCUGAGGACGCUGCAUCACCCCGACUCCCCUCCAUGUCCAGUUCUCGCCAGGUACAAGCUUAGAUGUCUUAGUGGUUGAGAUGUUAUGUCUCGGCUUUUUGUGAGGCUGUGCUUGACACAGUUGAGAACUACGAAAAGCAGAAUAUCUACAGGUGUGCCAGGUGGUUAGAAACAAGGGACAAUACACAAAGGCACAAGUUAAUGCAUCUGCAGUCGUAAUUGUGGCUGUAAAGUAGACCAAGAGUUGAUCCUCAAACUUCAAUUACCAUCAAUCCUUAACAAGGACUAAGGAUGCCAGGAUGGUGUCAACUUCCCGUGGACAUGAUCAGACUUUGAUUUCGUCGUCUGCGAAUUUUGGAGAUUUUUUGCUGCACAUGAUACGGUUGAAGUUCUCUGAUUUACACAGCAGAAUUUCAAUCUGCAACCAAGAAUAUUCUUGAGCUAAAAGUUGGUUGUCAUGUAUUUCAGAUGCAGAAACUGAAGGAAAGGAACAUCGCAAUUCUAUUUUGUGUGCUAUUUGGGCAAUGUGGACUGCAAGAAAUAAAAGAAGCCAUGGUGAAUAGAGAUGAAGUUGCAGAAUAAUUUUGUUAAAUGGCAGUCACCUGCUGCGGGGAUGGUGAAAGAAAAUGUGAAUGCUGCUUUGUCUCAGAUGCCCAACAUGGAGCUACAGGUCUGGUUAUUCGGGAUGAUCAAGCUCGGCUCAUUUCGGCAAGCUGCAAGUGGUACAAUGAUCUUCCAGAUGUGCUUACUGCUUAAGCUUAUGCAUGUCGAGAUGUAGUAGCCAUGGUCGGUAGUCUUAACUUUCCUAAGAUGGUAAUCGAAACGGACAGCCAAGAGCUGGUGUCUCUCUGGAAUACUAGAGCCAAUAAUAAAUCAUAUUCUUCCUGUUCUAAACCAAAUUCAGGAACUAAGUAGGUGUUGUGUUCAUUUUGAUAUUUGUCAUGUAUUCCCUUCAUUUCAUAAUUCUUGUCUCAAAUUUACCCAAAAAUAGAUGUAUUCAUUUCUAAAAAGCGUCUAGAUACAUGUACUAUUUCGACAAGAAUUAUGAAACGAAGGAGGUAGAAAGGAAAGCAAAUGCGGCUGCUCACCUGACAGCAAAGUUUGCUUCUCCUUCAAAUUCAGGUUGUGUGUGGAUGUAUCAAGUUCCUGAUUAUUUGCUAUCCUUAUGCUGAUUGUUAA